GAUGAACGCUGGCGGCGUGCUUAAUACAUGCAAGUCGAACGGAAAGGUACUGCUUUUGUUGCUUGGUCGUUUGGCGCACGGGUGAGUGUCACGUGUGUAACAUCCCCCUGUAUUUCGGGUAACUUCAGGAGAAUGGGGCUCAUACCGGGUAUGAGAUCUUGAUGCGUGUUGGUGGUUGGAGAGUUUCGGCUUUUGUGUAUGGUCUAGAUGGAUCCGCGCCGUAUGAGCUAGUUGGUGAGGUAACGGCUUACCAAGGGAACGAUACGUAGGCGACCUGAGAGGGUGAUCGGCCACCCUGGAACUGAGACGCGGUCCAGACUCCUACGGGAGGCAGCAGUAGGGAAUGUUACGCAAUGGGCAAAAGCCUGACGGAGCAACGCGGCGUGAGUGAUGAAGGUCUUGGGAUCGUAAAACUGUGUUAUUAGGGAAGAACAAAUGUGUAAGUAAAUGUGCACGGCGUGACGGUACCUAAUCAGAAAGCCACGGCUAACUACGUG
RNAcentral lists this ribosomal RNA (497 nucleotides) under uncultured bacterium. RNAcentral's name for it is "partial 16S ribosomal RNA". It matches the Rfam family "Bacterial small subunit ribosomal RNA", at positions 28 to 507 of the family's 1533-position model. The record is from RNAcentral.